RNAcentral lists this ribosomal RNA (497 nucleotides) under uncultured bacterium. Its description in RNAcentral is "partial 16S ribosomal RNA". It matches the Rfam family "Bacterial small subunit ribosomal RNA", at positions 28 to 507 of the family's 1533-position model. The record is from RNAcentral.
GAUGAACGCUGGCGGCGUGCCUAAUACAUGCAAGUCGAGCGAACGGACGAGAAGCUUGCUUUUCUGAUGUUAGCGGCGGACGGGUGAGUAACACGUGGAUAACCUACCUAUAAGGCUGGGAUAACGUCGGGAAACCGGAGCUCAUACCGGAUAAUAUGUUGAACCGCAUGGUUCAAAAGUGAAAGACGGUCUUGCUGUCACUUAUAGAGGGAUCCGCGCUGCAUUAGCUAGUUGGUAAGGUAACGGCCUACCAAGGCAACGAUGCGUAGCCGACCUGAGAGGGUGAUCGGCCACACUGGAACUGAGACACGGUCCAGACUCCUACGGGAGGCAGCAGUAGGGAAUCUUCCGCAAUGGGCGAAAGCCUGACGGAGCAACGCCGCGUGAGUGAUGAAGGUCUUCGGAUCGUAAAGCUCUGUUAUUAGGGAAGAACAUAUGUGUAAUUAACUCUGCAUAUCUUGACGGUACCUACUCAGAAAGCCCCGGCUAACUACGUG